GAACUUUCGUACCUUAUUAUUAUUAUUAGCCUAAAGAUAAAUAAUAAGUGAUCGUUGUAGUAUUCGAAAUCUGCCAUUUUCAUGUAUAAUAAUUGAUCUUGGAAUUAUAAAUAAUCGUUGCUUCGUUCUCGAAUGAAUAUUUCAAGUAAAAAAAAAAAUAACACCAAAUAAAAAUUUAUAAUGUCCGACAUAUCUCCGAAGUCCGCUAAAUUACUAUUAUACAAAUUUAUCAAAUCCUUAUCUAUUACAAUUAGGGAAAAGUUCACGCAGCCCGUUCAACGGUCGUGCUCGUACUCCAAGAAAGUCCGGUACAUCAUCAGGGAAGACUAUGGAUGCUAUUUGUUUUCCUACACCAAAGCCACGAGCUUAAACUGGGUUUUUCCUACACCAAAUUAAACAAAUAAGUAAAUAAAUAUAAUACUUAAAUAAUAAAAUAAAAUAAAAUAAAAAGAAGAAGAAAGAUGGGAUAAGAAUGUUAGCAACUUGCUGCACAACUUGAUACCCACGCCACUUUCACAGCCAUCUUUUAUACAUAUAUGUAGAUAUACAAUCUUUUUCACCACCACUCCAUGAAUCUUCCCCAAAUCUAUCAACUACCUUCCCUUUAUAAUCUGCCAUUCACAAAUCAGUUUCCUAAUUCUACCAACAAUCUGGAAAGAAAAGAAAUAGAGAGGAACCGUGAGUUCAAGACUCCGGUUUUGAUCUGUGGUUAUCUAUUCAACAAAGUUGAGGAGGAACUGACAAUUGAAAUAGAUACAGAGGGAUUCAUCAAGUUGCUUCUUUUUCACGAUCUGUCAAUUGAAGGUAUACUCCCUCCAAAUUUCGAGUUUCAAUCAUCAGUUUAUGCAUAAACAUACCAUCAUCCGAACUAAUCGCAUAACUCAAGCAAUUAACACAAUUGAACACUCCCACGAUUAAAUCGAAAUGCGAAAGAACUUGGUAAAGAAAACUUAUCUUUCGGGGCGGAACGGGUUAGUUCCGGGACGUUUCGGGGCUGUUCGGAGUUGUUCGGGGCUGCGCGGUGUCGGUUCGGGGUGGACUCGGAGUCAAUCGGAGGCUGACCAGCUGGCUGGGACAGCAGCGGCCACAACAGCGGUUUUCGGCGACGGCGGCGGAUCCGCAGCGGCGGUGGCGGUGCGGCGAAUCGAGGGAGAGAGAGAGACCGACCGAGAGAGAGAGGCCGACUGGGAGAGAGAGGGACGGAGCGUGCAGACCAGCAGACUUCCGGGACGGCUGUGCAUGCACAGCGGUGGCGGCGGCGGAACGGGAGAAAGACGGUGAGGAUGGCGGCGCGACGGUGAAGAGAGAAGAGAAGAGAAGAGAAGAGAAGAAAGAGAGAUGAGGAAGGAGAAAGGGGAUAUGCUGCGGUAUGUUCAAUUAGGGAUUUGGAAGAGAAAUUGGAUAAAAUCAAAUUUGGGGAUUUGGCAGUGAGGGAGAAACCGACGGGUUUGGUGAUAAGGAGUAUAGGCUUUAUGCCUUCUUAAUUAAUUGGAAUUGGGCCAUUAAAAUAGUGAAUUCAUUUUAGUUUUUGGGCCAAGGAAAUUCAUCAAGAAUGGGCCUAUCCAUGGAGUAUGAGAUAUACAUUAAUUAAUUGUUGGGCCACUUGAUGGAAUUAAUAAUUGGGCUGGAAAUGUUUUAAAAGAGAGUGGAGGAAAGGUCAAUAAAAUCGUUUUGGGCCGAGAUUUAA
Long non-coding RNA from Salvia splendens (bonfire salvia), 1687 nucleotides. RefSeq lists it as uncharacterized. Lineage: Eukaryota; Viridiplantae; Streptophyta; Magnoliopsida; Lamiales; Lamiaceae. The transcript is spliced from 2 exons. The record is from RefSeq and is a predicted model, not a curated record.